CUUUAUUUUUCUUUCAUACAUUUUCACACAUAAAAUCAAGCCACCAACAUCUUCUCUCUCUCUCCCUCUCUCCCCUUGUUCUUGUUAAUCUCUCUCGCCCUCCCCCGGUCAGAGGUGAUGUGAUUUCCUGCAGCUCUGACUCAUGUCAUCAGGAUUAUUUAGAUGAUGAUCAUUAUGGCAAUCGUAGGUCUUAUAUGUUUUGGAGUCAUUUUUCUGUAUUUCUUCUACUGAGCUGGUCUCCAGGGAUCGGACACGCGAGUCCCAGGACCAGACUGCCCCGACGCCGGCCGAACCCCCACCCCCUUCACCCCCUCCAAAAAAGAAGAAAAGAAUCCAGCCUCUCCUCCUCCUCUUCCUCGGAAACCUCUCGGUUCCUCUCCAGUCAGGAAUCCUGAGUGGAUGUAAUGUUGUAAUUUAUUUUUACUUAAUAAUUAGAAGUUAAUUCAAUAAAAGUAAAAAAAAUGUUGGGGGUUCUUGAUUCAUAAACUUCACAUUUCUUGGCGACCAGGUGUCUAAACAUGUUUUGCAUGAAACAGAAAAGCGUCUUCUAUGUGUUCAAUCCGGCCCCUUAAAAAAUGGGAUUUGAUUAUAAAGAAGAUUGGGCUGCAAAAAAAAAGAAAGAAGAGAAAAAGACCCUUCCAGGUGGAUUUAAAGGGACAGUACCUGAUUUUAUUCACCUCCAGACCAUCUCCUGCUAAAAAGAUGCGACCGGUAUUUGCCAAAAAGACACGAUCAGACAUAAAAAGUAUAAAAGUUAAUAUAUAAAACAUUUCUGAAGAUUUUUAUUGUUCCUAAACGGACCUAAAAACUUAUUUUAGGUCAGAAACCUCUCAGAAAUAUCCAUCUUCAUUCCUCUCUGUCCUGCCUGUGAUGUGCUCGUUCAGUGUAUGUUGAGGGACGCCGCCCCCUCGCUGUCGGCGGCGGUACUGCGACGGGAACACUUUUAGAUUUCACUGUAAAUAAACGGUCCUGUUGUCAUGGCGUCGUCGUGUUUGAAUGUUUCUGUACAUAAUUUAAGGCAUUUUCACGGCGGCUAACCCGUCGUCAUGGUUACCGUCCAACACUGGUCUAUUGUUCAAGGGAAAGGGCGAGUUAGUGCU
Long non-coding RNA from Cyclopterus lumpus (lumpfish), 1100 nucleotides. RefSeq lists it as uncharacterized. The record is from RefSeq and is a predicted model, not a curated record. The transcript has 3 exons. Lineage: Eukaryota; Metazoa; Chordata; Actinopteri; Perciformes; Cyclopteridae.